Molecule: RNA transcript, 2678 nt
Organism: Myxocyprinus asiaticus (Chinese sucker)
Lineage: Eukaryota; Metazoa; Chordata; Actinopteri; Cypriniformes; Catostomidae
Gene: tapbpl
Gene name: TAP binding protein like
Exons: 11
Source: RefSeq, a predicted model, not a curated record
CGUCUAUUGAAUGCAUCAGCGUUGGUUUCGAAAGUACCCUGGUUUUGAGCUGUUUGAUGUCUCUAAAUAAAAUGUGUUUGCACAAUUAAUCUAUACAUAGUCAAAAAAUAAGUGACAUCAAGGCAACUGGUAUUGGAGCUGCAUGGUGAUGUUAACAAUCCUCAUUGUCCUCCUUUCGUGGGCUUACGGGCUGGAGGGAGCUGAUGUGGUUCUGUCCUGCUCUCUGAUCGAGGAGGGGGGAGGGAUGGGGGGCAUGAUGGGAGGCUCUAUGUUCAAGCGCACUCCCUCCACUCUGGUCUUCAGGGAUCUUGUUGGGAAUGAUGAUCUGUCACCAGAGCUGGUGACCCCAUAUAACCCCCCUGAGACGCCUAAUGCUGAUGAUCUGAUCUUUGAGUUAAUGUUGCCAUCUCUUCAGAUUCCCAAUGCAGACUCACUUCUUCACGCUGAUUGUAAUGAACAGGAAGUGGUUUGUGAGAUCAGCCGUUAUGUUCCUCGCGGUGCUGAUCCGGAUUCUUUACCUGCUCAUUUCAUUAGCUCAGUUCAGCUGGAAGGAAGUGGCCUGAGUCUCACUCUGGUGCUACAAACCCUGUCCAGUGAGACAGCAGAAUCUUACACACCACCACUUAUGCAGAGUAAACUAAACCUGCCACUCAGCCAAUCAGGAACAUUGCUGACAGAGGUUGUGUUUGUGGUGUUCUCGCGUGUACCGUCCGUUAUGGCUCCAAUAGGGGGUGAUGCCGUUUUAGAUUGUGGCUUUAAACAGAAGGACUCAAUCCCUGGACAGGAUGUAACACUUGAGUGGCGUCUACAACACAGAGGAAAUGGCCAUAAAAUUCUUGAUAUGAAAGCGAGGGAGAUAGAGACAGAGGUGGGAUCAGAUGUAUUAGUAGAGCGGGAAGGCACAAGCGCAGAAGCAGAUCUGCUGGUGAGGGAUGGUAAUGCAUCUCUUACUCUGAGGAGGUUAAAGGUCACAGAUGAGGGAAGGUACAUCUGCACUGUCGGCUCUGGAGAGUUCCAGACACAACAGGUUGUCCAGCUGCACAUUACACAACCCCCUCGUGUCACAUUCUCUGUGGAAAAACUGGCAUUUCAGGACAAUACACCCCAGAAACUGAGCUGUCACUGUCAUCGUUACUAUCCUCUGGAUGUACAGGUGGAGUGGUUAUCUCAGCCCCCCUUUGUGGAAGAGCCUGUGUCUUUCUCAAAAGAAUCCACCCUCUCCAGUCACCAGCAGCACAGUGAUGGGACAUAUUCUCUCUCAUCUCACCUCAUCCUACGGCCCGACGAACACCCACCAGGAACUGUUGUCACCUGUAGAGUCUCUCACUCUGCCCUAGACACACCUACCAAUGCCAGCCUGACUGUGGAUAAACUUGAGCCAAAAACAGCCUUCUGGACUGGAAUUGUUUUAAUGUUGGUGAUAUCUGUGUUAUUUUUGUAUCAAGCAUUCAAAAGUACAGCUUGGCUUUUCCACAGAACAGGAUAAUUAGAUUUCCCUCACAACAUCAGGCAGUUAACAGUAGUUUUAAAGAAUACAAGAAAUAGGAAAUAAAUCCACCCUCUCCAGUCACCAGCAGCACAGUGAUGGGACAUAUUCUCUCUCAUCUCACCUCAUCCUACGGCCCGACGAACACCCACCAGGAACUGUUGUCACCUGUAGAGUCUCUCACUCUGCCCUAGACACACCUACCAAUGCCAGCCUGACUGUGGAUAAACUUGAGCCAAAAACAGCCUUCUGGACUGGAAUUGUUUUAAUGUUGGUGAUAUCUGUGUUAUUUUUGUAUCAAGCAUUCAAAAGUACAGAGAGCUGAGGGGUAAUCUGAGGCCAUGUGAGGGAAAAUCGAGGAAGGAACUUGGAGAUUUUUUUUUUUUUUUUUAACUUCGUCAGUCAACAACAAUCUUCAAAUGUUUUAAAUCAGUUACUGUACUGAAUAUUUGUUUAAUGGGAAUUUAAUGUCAGCAAAAAGUAUUUUAUGUAACAUUCUAAAAAUGUAAAAUAAAUUAAAGAAAAUGUAUCAACAAAUAUAUAUAUAUAUAUAUAUAUAUAUAUAUUAUUCUAUUUAUUGUUAAAUAAACACAAACAGGUAGAGUACUGUAUGUCGAUGGUUUUAUUGGCAGCAGUGGCAUAUACUGUUAGCAUGCUGUUUAUCCCUUUUAAAAUCUAAUAUUGAGAGGACAUGGGAUUACUCCACAGUUAUAGUAUAUCCUUUACAGUUCAUUUGCAUGAAUAUAUAAUCAUCUUAAUUUGAGUUUACAGGAGAAAAAAAAACUGACCUCUGUAGUCUUCAGCAACAGAACAAAAUAAAGUCUGUGCUGACAAAGGAAUGUGAUAACCGACAGCAGUAAGGACUGUCAAAACCAUUUGUUUUAUAUUGCAUGGCAGUAUAGAUUAUAUUCUUCAUGCUCAUUUAGUGUUGAUUAUCUUUACAAAUUUUUUGCACAUUUCAGUACAUUUUGGCAGGCCCACAGCAUUCAUCUUGUUCCCACAGCUUGGCUUUUCCACAGAACAGGAUAAUUAGAUUUCCCUCACAACAUCAGGCAGUUAACAGUAGUUUUAAAGAAUACAAGAAAUAGGAAAUAAAAUAAACACACCACGAGUAAAAGAGUUUUAACAGUGGGAUGCAAAUGCAAUGCAAUGCAAAAAACAGGAAUAAACAUUCAACACCUUAAAGGGAUAG